This 111-nucleotide small RNA is filed under the name Sinorhizobium terangae. Its description in RNAcentral is "Alphaproteobacterial ar15". It matches the Rfam family "Alphaproteobacterial ar15". Lineage: Bacteria; Pseudomonadati; Pseudomonadota; Alphaproteobacteria; Hyphomicrobiales; Rhizobiaceae. The record is from Rfam by way of RNAcentral.
AGCUGAUGCACAUGGCGGUUUUCUCCUCCCAGUACCGCCGCACCAGCUGUUCCCCUCUGGAGGUUUUGACCUUCACACCUUAUGGGCCGCGGUUUCCGCUGGCCCUUUUUU